GUAUUUCAUUUAUUCUUAAUAAGCCUUGAUGAGCAAAUAACAAAGGCACACAAGCUCUGCUUGCAGAGACGAAAGGAAACUGAAUGUUGUGUUCAGCAAUGUCGAAAUCUGCUAAAACCAUGGCCAUUGAUAUCUAAAAUGGUUAAACAAGAUGAACAAACUACAAGUGGCACUGGACAGUCACAAACUAUGCAGGGUGGAGGACCCAUCACAGGAGACACAGAAAUUGAAAUCAAA
Molecule: long non-coding RNA, 237 nt
Organism: Orbicella faveolata
Lineage: Eukaryota; Metazoa; Cnidaria; Anthozoa; Scleractinia; Merulinidae
Source: RefSeq, a predicted model, not a curated record